Molecule: ribosomal RNA, 253 nt
Filed under: uncultured bacterium
Lineage: Bacteria
Description: partial 16S ribosomal RNA
Rfam family: Bacterial small subunit ribosomal RNA
Source: RNAcentral
UACGUAGGGGGCAAGCGUUGUCCGGAUUUAUUGGGCGUAAAGAGCGUGUAGGCGGCCUUGCAAGUCCGUUGUGAAAACUCGAGGCUCAACCUCGAGACGCCGGUGGAAACUGCAAAGCUAGAGUCCGGAAGAGGAGAGUGGAAUUCCUGGUGUAGCGGUGAAAUGCGCAGAUAUCAGGAGGAACACCAAUUGCGAAGGCAGCUCGCGGGAACGUAACUGACGCUGAGACGCGAAAGCGUGGGGAGCAAACAGG